GUGCUUGCUUCGGCAGCACAUAUACUAAAACUGGAAUGAUACAGAAGAGAUUAGCAUGGCCCCUGUGCAAGGAUGACAUGCAAACUUGUGAAGCAUUCCAUAUUUUU
This 107-nucleotide small nuclear RNA is filed under the name Balaenoptera musculus (blue whale). The record is from RNAcentral. Lineage: Eukaryota; Metazoa; Chordata; Mammalia; Artiodactyla; Balaenopteridae.